CACAUACUUCGUGUUGACUAUUGGUUUUGUGAUGGGUGUUACUUUGGCUGCAAUAUUGGGAGUUUCAUUUGGUUCCAUAGUCACACUGUUCACUAAGGACAUUGGAGUAUUGGCGAUUGCUAGAACCGGGGUUUUGUUUGUGAGUGCUAGUCAGCCUUUGAAUGCUUUUGCUUUUAUUGUUGAUGGUUUGCAUUAUGGAGUUUCAG
This is a non-coding RNA of Lactuca sativa (garden lettuce), 206 nucleotides long. The record is from RefSeq and is a predicted model, not a curated record. Lineage: Eukaryota; Viridiplantae; Streptophyta; Magnoliopsida; Asterales; Asteraceae.